Non-coding RNA from Triticum aestivum (bread wheat), 136 nucleotides. NCBI's taxonomy places the organism in Eukaryota, Viridiplantae, Streptophyta, Magnoliopsida, Poales, Poaceae. The record is from Rfam.
GAUAUACUCCCUCCGUCCCAAAAAGGAUGUCUGAGAUUUUUCUAAAUUUAAAUGUAUCUGUACACUAAAUAGUGACUAGAUACAUCUAAAUUUAGACAAAUCUCAGACAUCCUUUUUAGGACGGAGGGAGUAAAUA